ACAUUUAUAUUUUAGUUUUAGGUGAACCACACCUGGCCCUUUUUAUUUUUUAUUUUGAGAUAGGGUCUCUCUAAGUUGCUUAGGGCCUUGUUGAGGUGGGCCUCAAACUCACAAUCCUCUUGCCUCAGCUUUCCAAGUCAUUGAGAUUACAGGACACACCACUGUGCCUGGCUGUACUCCAUUUCUUGACUUAAGUAAAAAAAUUUUUUUUUAAUUUUUAAAAUUUUUGAGGCAAUUUUAGAUUUACUGAAAAAUUACACAUAUAGUACAAAGAUUUUCCAUAUACCCUUCACCCAGCUUCUUCUAAAAUAAAGAGCUUACUAACCAUAGCACAGUUACCAAAAACAAGAAAUUAACAGUGAUUCAUAGGCUUUAUUUGAAUUUUGCCCUUACCCCCAACUAAAGUCCUUUUCCUCUUCUGAGAUCCAGUCUGUUCUCAUAUUGCAUUUGGUGGUCUUGUCCUCUUAGUCUCUAGGUCUCAGUCUUUGAGCUCUGUUGUCUACAUCCCCUGACACACACACACUUAAGAAUGGGUAUGGAGCUGGCAAGGUGGCUCACAACUCUAAUCCCAGAGGUUGAGGUAGGAGGAUCGUGAGUUCAAGGCUCAGCCUCAGCAAUUUAGCAAGGCCCUAAGCAACUCAGUGAGACCUGUUUCUAAUCCCUGCUUGGGAUGUGGCUCAGUGGCUAAGCGCCCUGCGUUCAAUUCCUGGUACCAUAAAGAAAAAAGAAUGGGUAUGGAAUGUGGAGAGAGAGGGAUCCACAUCACUCUGGGAAUGAUACAGCAAAUCUGGUUGGAGACAAACUGAAGGUCGGGUUGGCCUUGGGUGGGGUGGGGUAGUUUGCAGAACUGUGUAGACUGCAAAGCCUCUGCCAUAUUCCCUUUUGCCUGUGGUUAAGGAAGAUGCUACUAGCCUGACUCUGUGUGUGUGUGUGUGUGUGUGUGUGUCCAUUAGGAUCUGAAAUAGGACUGUUUCCUGAACUCAAAUCUUGUCCAUCCCUGGGGAGGCCAGGGUGUCCCCUUGCUAUGACCUUACCAGUCCAUGAUUUUUUUUUUUUUGCCAUACUGGGGAUUGAACCCAGGAGUACUGUACUCCUGAGCUCCAUCCCUACUCAGUCUUUUUAUUUUGGGCCCUUUUAAUUGAAUUUCUCGCUAUAUUACUAAGAUUGGCCUCAAAUUUGCCAUCUUCCUGUCUCAGCCUUCUGAGUCCUGGGAUUAUAGGCAUUACUACUGUGCCUAGCUCCUGCUGUAUUCUUUUUAAAAUAUUUUUUUAGUCUUUGAUGGACCUUUAUUUAUAUGUGGUGCUGAGGAUCGAACCCAUACCUCACACAUGCUAGGC
This 1337-nucleotide long non-coding RNA is filed under the name Marmota monax (woodchuck). Lineage: Eukaryota; Metazoa; Chordata; Mammalia; Rodentia; Sciuridae. The record is from RNAcentral.